Long non-coding RNA from Tyto alba (common barn owl), 280 nucleotides. RefSeq lists it as uncharacterized. The record is from RefSeq and is a predicted model, not a curated record. Lineage: Eukaryota; Metazoa; Chordata; Aves; Strigiformes; Tytonidae. The transcript has 3 exons.
CCUGGCCACGCACGGGUGGUUUGAGCUCAUCUUGUUGCAAGCCGCUGAAGAAAUUGCUGAGGAUUUGAUAGCACUUGCAGGUCUGGGAGCUGAAUGGCAGAAGGCUCUGCAGGAAUCCUGGAUUUCCGUGAAUAGAUGGAAUUGAAAUUUAAAGAUAUCGUCUAAAUAGAAGGAGAGCAGCAGUAAUGAAAGCAGACCCGGUCUCCUCCAGUAACCCAUCUUCUGGAUCCGGCCAGUGACCAGAAGCCCAGCUUCACGGCGUUGACCAAUUCAUCUUCCC